Chiloscyllium plagiosum (whitespotted bambooshark) is the source of this 3265-nucleotide long non-coding RNA. RefSeq lists it as uncharacterized. The record is from RefSeq and is a predicted model, not a curated record. Lineage: Eukaryota; Metazoa; Chordata; Chondrichthyes; Orectolobiformes; Hemiscylliidae.
UCGCCCCGCCACUCCGCGCGCGCCCGGUUGGCCGGCCGAUCUUUUUAACGGCCGAACCGGCGGUGGUGCAGCUGUUUCGUCCGCCCUGAGAGCGUUGCUGAGUCGUCCCACUCGGAAUUGCAUUCGCUGCAUCGGUCUGGGCUGGAAUGGCCCUGUUCCCUUGAAGGAAUUACAUCCAGCGGGAACUUUGGGAAGAUAAUUGAAUAAUUACUUAAAAAGGAGAAAGAAAACUGCAUUAACAUAAAUAUCACUUCUCCCCCAAUCUCUAUCAAUUCCGAAAGAGGAUCACUGGGCCCGAAACCUUAACUCUUGUUUCUCUCUCCUCAGAUGCUGCCAGUCCUGCUUAGUUUCUCUCGCAAUUUUUGAUUUUGGUUGAAGGAAGGAAUGCCCAGUUUUGAUGCAAAAAUCGGGACUCAUCAGCUAACUCUUUCCAAGUGUACUGGAUUGUAUUAGGUGCUCCUACAUUGCAAUUUACAGCUUGAAUUAAUGACGGUUUGACUUGCCUGGAUUUUAUUUUGCAAAGCUUCAGUGGAAAACAUCUCAGAGAGGCUUCUGCAGAACUCUGACCAGCAUCAUUGCAUUGGGAACAUAGACCCCUGUGGAAUCUCAGCACCAGAACACUAUGAGUUAACAGUGAAUACAGUUUCGAAGCAUUUUGGAUUACCACAACAGGCAUGUUUUAAAGGAUUUCUUUCAAAAGGAUUUCUUUCUUACUGAUCCCCAUUUAGAAUGCAGAGAAGAGUUGUUCCAUGAGAUUCUAGUAAAAUAGGAUGGCUACAUCAUAUUAAACUCUGCCUGGAGAUGAGUCCAUGUGAUUUCGAUAUCAAAAGGUUGGAGACCCAAAUUGAUACCAACAGAAAGUCAAUGCCAGGAUUUAUAUCUUGAAACGAAAGAAGGGGAGCUUAUCUUUCUGGACACAAACUCUUAGACCAAUUAAGAGACAUGCAGAGGAAGAUUAAAAUACCUGCUACUAUGACAAGCACAGGAAAUAGGACUUUGUGUUUACCACUAAACAGAAUACUGGUGAGAAUGGACUCCCAAUUUGAAAAGAUUAUUCUUGUCGAGAUUUAAAGAGAAAGGAGUUGCCAGAGGGUGCCUAGCUGUUGGAAAUCAGUUCAAUGCUACUCAGGAGAUUGAGUAUAGGAACUUUAAAGGGACAUUGCACCCUGCAAUGGAUCAUAACUGUGAAUUACUAUAUGGACAUGUUGAACUUUAAAAUAAUUGUUUUUCCAGAAGAAUAUGCAAGCCAAAAGAUGGCUAGCAAAGUAAAUUCAGUGGUUGUUUGGAAAAUCCCUGCAUGAUUACGGAGUCCUGAAUAUCACACCCGAUGAAUAUCAAGGUAACCUCAGACAAUGACACUUCAAGAGAAGAGGUAGCAUUCAAAAAAGGCAGUGUCUGCUGACAAUGAAACUGCAGAACAACUACACAUCCAUGCUCACUCAAACACCAAUGCACAAGUUUCCAGACACUCUACAUUUUUGUGUCAUGCACAGAACAGGGACAACAUUGAAGCGGAAUGGGGCAGGGCAUGCAAGGGGAGACAAUGGAUGGGCUGAUGGCAGGGAAGAAAACAGACAGGGCUGGUGAGGGUGUAGGGUGAGAACAGAUGGGGCUCUUGAGGAGAGUAGAGAGAACUGGCCCAGGAGCCAGGAGAUUUUCCACUCUUUUGCACUCUCUCACAACCAUCCAUCCAUCCCCAGUCCCAACCUUUCCCCUCACCUCCCAAGCCAUGGGCUGCAUCCUCCAGGACCAUUUGUCUGUGCAACUAAAAGGUAGUGCACACUGCAUAUGUACAUGCACUAGCAGACGCAGCCUUGAAAACAUUAACAGUAUCUCCUAUGGCUAUAGGACUGAUUAUCCUCAGCAGGAAGCCAUGUUCAGUAGGUUGUGUCACAGACUGCAGGUAAGAUGAGGUGGAAGAAAGACAGUUCUGGGCAAAAUACAUGCCAUUUCAUGAAAACACGAGAGGGCAUUACUGUAACCUCUGGUUUCUGUAUCCUAGCGAACUGGUGUGCUAUACUGUUCAAGUUCCACUCUGCUGAAGUGUGCAGUGAAGGGACUCAGCUGAAAAUUGUCACUAGACAUCCCUUCAAUUUUCAGGUAAAAAGAAAUAAACUCUCUCUUGCUGAAAACAAGUCUUCAGCAAAGACGCUGUUGAAAGAAACGAGAAAAACUCCUUUGAGUUGAUUGCAGAACCAAAAAAAAAACUACACUGCUAAAGUCAGUGCUAUUAGUAUCACUCACUUCAAUGAUCACAGCAUUUCACAAUCAGAUACCAGCCAAAGACUGAUUCAUAUAUUUUUGACUUUAAUUCUAAUCCAUGUUUGCAUGUGUUGAAUGUUAUCUUUUCUCAUAUUUUAGUAAACUCAUACUCUCUUUAACCCAAAAAAUCCUAGUUAAAUUUGGCUCCUUUAAAACAUAAAUUACAUGUGGGCUGCUAAAGGGUAUCCAUGAAGGAAGGGAUCCAUUUUAAAUUAAUCUUGUGACCUACUGAGGUUAGAGUUUUUGAAAAAGAUUUGUGGUUCAGGUUGUGGGUGAGGUCAUAGAUUUGUUUUCCGAGCUGAUGUGUUUUUUUGCAGCCAUUUAAUCACCACUAGGUGACAUCGUCAGUGCGCCUCUGGUGAAGCGUUGGUGGUCUGUCCCGCCUGGUAUUUAUGUGUCUGUUUUCCGGUACUUCUGGUUCUGUAUGUGAAUGGUUUGUAUAUCGGGUCCAGUUCAAUAUGUUUAUUGAUUGAGUUCCAGUUGGAGUGAAAGGCUUUAAAGAAUUCUCUCAUGUGUCUCUAUUUUGCCUCUGCUGGGAUGGUUACAUUGUCCCAGUUGAAUUUGUGUCCUUCAUUGUCUGUGUGGGUGGAAAUGAGAGAUUACUGGUAGUGGGGAACUGAACACUCGCAUAGUCUGUUUUCUUCCUGUUUAUCCUAUGUAGUGUUUUUCACAGGCCUUGCAGGGUAUCUUGUGGAUUAUGUUCAUGCUGUUAGAUGUGGGUAUCGGUUCCUUAGCUUUUGUGAAGAGUUGGUGAAAGGUGUUUACCGGUUUGUGGAUCACUGAUUCCUAGGGGUCUGAGUAGUCAGUUAGUCGUUUCUGAUAUGUCCUUAAUCUACAGUAUGGUCACUACUGUGUCUGGUCAUGUAGUGUUUUCUUCUUUUAGGUUUGUUGCAUAAGUGCAGGAGGAAAGUGCUCUUGAGGUACCCAUUUUGGUAUGCUUUCCUUUAUUGGUCGGAGCAUUGAAUACAGGAGUUGGGAGGUCAUGUUACAGCUGUAUAGGAUA